AGCAUACUAAAAUGAAGCGAUCAAUGAGGCUGCAAGACCAAAACUGAUUUAAUAACUUUGUGUUUUACUCAUUUCAAAACCCAGUGAUGGCAACAGUACCAGUGAGCCUUUGCAAUGCACAUGGCUAAGCUGCUAUAAAGUCACCAGGGCUGAUCUUCAUAAAGAGAUUUAAAAAUGACAUUGAGAUAUUUUAAGCAGAGAUCAUUUAAUUUUUUCUCUGUGAGUUUUAUAGUUAGGUGAUUCAGGAGCUGAUUUGUUACACCAGACAGCACGGAUGCAUCUUUCCCCUUGACUCUCAAAAGUCCAAUGGGCAACGGAAGCAGGAUCUCCUGAGUAUUAAAGAGGAUGUCUUUAAAGAAAAGGACUCUGGGCUGCCUAAUCACUGCUACUAGGUGUGCUCCCCAAAGCUGGAUUUUCCCCCUCUUAGAGGACAGGUGGAUCAACCUUCUGCCAUGGAAGUGAGAGGGAAUGCAGUGGAGGGGAAGAAGCUACCAUUGUUUUUUAUUGCAAAAAGAAAUGGAUGAAAAGCAGUCAGCUUUGAGUCUUUGAAAAGGAAAAUAAACUACAG
Long non-coding RNA from Gallus gallus (chicken), 568 nucleotides. NCBI's taxonomy places the organism in Eukaryota, Metazoa, Chordata, Aves, Galliformes, Phasianidae. The record is from Ensembl.